GACGAACGCUGGCGGCGUGCUUAACACAUGCAAGUCGAACGGAAAGGCCCUGCUUUUGUGGGGUGCUCGAGUGGCGACCGGGUGAGUAACACUUGAGUACCCUGCCCUUGACUUUGGGAUAACUUCAUGAAACUGGGGCUAAUACCGCAUAGGAGCUCCUGCUGCAUGGUGGGCGUUGGAUAGUUUCGGCGGUUGGGGAUGGACUCGCGGCUUAUCAGCUUGUUGGUUGGGUAGUGGCUUACCAAGGCUUGGCGGGGUAGCCGGCCUGGGAGGGUGACAGGCCCCAUUGGGACGGGGCUGCGACACAGCCUAGUAUGGGAGGCAGGGGUGGGGAAUAGUGUACAAUGGGAGGAAGCAUGAUGCAGCAAAGCCGCGUGCGGGAAGUCGUGAUUGGGGUAGUAAUGCGCUGCCGCCUGUGACGGAGCGUUAGUGACGGUACCGGGUAAAGAAGCACCGGCUAACUACGUG
Molecule: ribosomal RNA, 468 nt
Filed under: uncultured bacterium
Lineage: Bacteria
Description: partial 16S ribosomal RNA
Rfam family: Bacterial small subunit ribosomal RNA
Source: RNAcentral